CAGAUGGCAAAAUGGAUAGAAGGUCAAACACGGGAUCAAGCCAAAACAGAGAUGACAGCAAUACAAUAAGAAACCAAAGUACAAGAGAUCAAUAACCCUUUUGCAAUCAACAGUUACCUGGUCUGAGGAUCAAUAAGAGUCUCUUGUGCACAGGCAGGAAUCCCACCAAUACCAAUCCUUUUCUUUGUUCUUUAGUUGAAAGGCUGAUUGAUUGUUUACAGGAAGAGCUUAUAGUGCAGCUAACUUCAAUCACCUGCACCCAAAAGGCC
Molecule: long non-coding RNA, 269 nt
Organism: Melospiza georgiana
Lineage: Eukaryota; Metazoa; Chordata; Aves; Passeriformes; Passerellidae
Exons: 3
Source: RefSeq, a predicted model, not a curated record